GCCCUGGUAGCUCAGUUGGUAGAGCGCCUGUCUUGUAAACAGGAGGUCGAGGGUCCAAAUCCCUCUCAGGGCU
Molecule: transfer RNA, 73 nt
Filed under: Candidatus Micrarchaeum acidiphilum ARMAN-2
Lineage: Archaea; Nanobdellati; Microcaldota; Candidatus Micrarchaeia; Candidatus Micrarchaeales; Candidatus Micrarchaeaceae
Also listed under: 1 other name
Description: tRNA-Thr
Rfam family: tRNA
About the family: Transfer RNA (tRNA) molecules are approximately 80 nucleotides in length.
Source: RNAcentral